GAGUCUUAUUAUCAAUCUCAUUUGAUGUCUGAUCCAUGAGUACCAAAAAACAAUGAAUGCAAUAGAUGAAAUAAAUCCUUUGGCACAGAUUUUGGUGUACAAAAGUCAAAACCAUGGAAGGUGGUCCAGUUAGUUUUGGAGAGCCAAAACAUUACAUUUAACCACAAGGAAGCGGCCAAGGUUUUCACCUUAGCUGCUACAGCAGCAGCAGUAGCUGUAAGUUCGUGCACCUAGGCAAAAUGAAAGGUGGUAAUGGGGUAUGGGAGGUGGGUCCUUUCUGCAUCACCAAACUGCAAUGCCGCCGAAACCAUCUACUGAACAAGGUUGGCAAUGUCAACUGCAUUUUAUGACACAAAACCAAACAAAGCUUAAGCUUUUGUGUAGAUAAGGCACCUGCAAAAUGAUAAAUGUUGGCUAAAUAUUAGCUAUGCUCUAGUCUUCCAUGGCCCCUACCAUUUAAGAACAUGAUCAGUCAGCCAUAUAAGUCCAUAUCAUAAUCUGGCUUUUUAUGUGGGAAGUUCAAAGCAAAACCAACAUACAUUCCUCUUUCCAUCACUAUUAGUAGUACUGGAAGGACAUCCUUCUCUAGUCUUUACCCUAUGUGCUCAAACAUUCCUGCUUCAUUUCAACUAUAGUUUUCUGCAUAUGGUUUCUCCACAACUAAAGUUUUCAACUUUCAUACGCAUUGAAAACCAAUUCUUUGUCAAGAUAUGGAAAGAGACACCCUUUUUUAUCUAUGAUGAAGUCCAAGGGGAAUAUAAGGCCCAAAAAAUAAGCCCAGGAAAUUAAGGGGUGGCUAAACCAGUAACCAGAGUAAAUGCAAAUCUGGGGUUGUCUCGUCUCUGCACUCGGCUCCCUCACCUCCUUGGAAAAGCCUAACCCUUAAAUCCUUUGAAUUUGUAUCUCUAAGCCAUUGACAUUAUCAUAUAAUCAGAUCCAUUGUUAACUCUUUUAUUUGAUCGUAAUUCCUGGUAGAGAAAAAAAGAAGAAGGGUAAGGGGAGCUUCCUGAAAUUCUUCUUAUAGCUGGUGAGUGUAAACAAACACGAUCUCUUUUUCUUUAGAUUUUUAAGUCCCUUUUUUUGUAUUAAUAUUUGAUGAGAUUUACGAAUUGGGUUUUGUAUUUUGCUUGUUUCUAGAUCAUUUCUCAAUCACAUUUUUGUUCUUUUUUCUUACUAACUAUUACUUUGUAUGUUUUUGCUAAUCUCUGUUUUGUCAAUACCUUGCUUAAAUUCAUGGUUUUUAAGAUUUGAUCAUAUCAAAAUCGAUUUUUUCUGCUCUAAUUCAUUUGGAUAUUCUAGACUUAGUUAUAAUGGUUCGGUGCUUUUAAGGUUUUUUUUCUUCUUUUAUGGAAAGAGUUAACUGGCUGUUCCAUAUAUGAACUUGGUUCUAGCCUUUUAGUCAAUUGCAAAAUAUAAAAUAAAAGGGCAGUUUGCUUGGUGAUUUAGUUUCUACUGGUGUCUCUUUGAUGCAAAACUGAGUCUAGUAUGCUAUAAUUUGAUCUCUCUUUGCAAGAUGCAGAUGCUCUACUUUAUGAUCAAGAGCAUAUUUUUUUUUCUUUGAAUGUUGAAAUUGAUUUACUUGGAUCUAUAGCUUACUUCCUGCUCAAAGUUCUCUAGUUCAUACAAUCAGAGUUUCUGUGUUUCAGUGAAUUUUUAUGAGCUGUUGACAUAGCAGUAAAAGUUUUCAAUCCUUAAAUUUAAAACAAAGAAUAAGACAAAAAAUAACUUUUUAAAAGAAUUCUUACAUUUAGAAGUGAAAGCACAAGGGCUUGUUUAUAUAUGAAGUUCUAUGUUGUUUCCGUACCAUGGUCCAGUGGUAAUAUUCAAAAGAUUGAACUAUCACAUGUUAUCUUAUAAGGUCUAGUGCAUAGUUGAUGCAUAUUAUUCAAUCAAACAUCUUAUAUUGCCCUUGCAGAUGAUUUAUUGCUUAUGAUUGAUUUCAUAGCUUUAUAAUUGCUGUUCAAAAGAUCUUAUCAAUUAUCAGUUCUUUGCUUCCAAAUUUGGCCUCUAGUUUUUUGUUAUCUAAUGACACUUAUAUCUGUUAACUUUUAAAGUUUAUACAAAAAUGAUGUGAUGUUUUACUGGUUAAGGGCAAGGACUAAACAUAGGAUUAGGAAUCUUAGGUGAGCUAUUAAUCUGUCACGGUUGUUGGGUGAGUUGUGUUUUUAUUUCCAAUCGAUUAUUUGGAUAUUUCACAUGAAUGAUCUGGCAUUUAUAAUAUGUCCUUGUUUUGAGCUUCUAAAAUCUAAGCAGUAGGAGCUUAAGUGGGAUUUCAGGUGCGAGGCAAGGUGUUAGCAAGUUGGAGAGAUCAAGGUACUGUUCCUUGCCUUCUAAGGAACUAUAUAAUUAAAAGACUUUAAUGAGUUGCAUAUUACUUGUUUCACUUAAUUGUUUGCUUUUCAAAUUCUGAUAAAUAUUUUACUUGUCUUGAAUAUUUUAGUCGGAGACAGACAGUUGUUUUACCCUGUACUGUAACGAUUAGUACUUUGGUUGGUUUUACAUGAGGGCCCUCCUCUUGUUACUGCAGGAACCAUAACGUACAUAUUCACUAGGAAAGUGAUUAGUACUACAUGCGUAGGGCGCUCAGGAUAGAUUUGUCUAUGUUGCAGGAGGGUGAAAGUGGAGUAGAGUUUAUUCCUUUUUUAUUCAAUUGACCUAAUAUUUGCUUCACAAGAAAGGUAUUUUUAUUCAUGUAAGCAAUUGCUGAAUGACACAUUUGUACUCUUUAUUCCUAUUUUAGCUUCCUUUUCCAGCUUGCCUUUAUUCUUUUCUUCGGUAAACCCGUUUCUGUUCUUGAGCAGGAUACAAGGUUGGUGCUUCUUAGGUGAUAACUUCGAGUACCAGAGAAGAAACUUAAUUCCGAGUGCUUUUCAUUGUUGAUAUGGUUAUAUAGAGUGACACUCGUAGGAAGGUUGUAAAAUGGCUUUUGUUUCAGAGGAAGAAAAAACUGAGGAUUACCUUUUCAAGAUCGUACUAGUUGGUGA
This 2984-nucleotide long non-coding RNA is filed under the name Gossypium barbadense (sea-island cotton). RNAcentral describes it as "long non-coding RNA (GBAR_LNC017359)". Lineage: Eukaryota; Viridiplantae; Streptophyta; Magnoliopsida; Malvales; Malvaceae. The record is from RNAcentral.